GGUGGCCAAAGAAGGAACUAGGAAGAUUAAGGGUUUGAGAGGGUUUUGAGAUGGGAGAAGCCAUGGAUUUGGUAGUGGCGGCAAUUAAGGAGAUGAGACCGGUGGUUGAAGUAGCGGAGCAAGCCAUUUCUUCUUCUUUUGGGGGAAGAGAUGAAGCACAGAGCUGUCUAUACGUAGGUGUGUUCACUGUUCACUGGUUACCAUUGCCCUGCAGAAAUGGUAGGUGAAGACUGCCGAAGUGAAGAUAAUAUCCAGACUUCAGAGA
Molecule: unclassified non-coding RNA, 265 nt
Filed under: Hevea brasiliensis (rubber tree)
Lineage: Eukaryota; Viridiplantae; Streptophyta; Magnoliopsida; Malpighiales; Euphorbiaceae
Source: RNAcentral